AUUGAACGCUGGCGGCAGGCCUAACACAUGCAAGUCGAGCGGUUGAAGGGAGCUUGCUCCCUGAUUCAGCGGCGGACGGGUGAGUAAUGCCUAGGAAUCUGCCUAUUAGUGGGGGACAACGUUUCGAAAGGAACGCUAAUACCGCAUACGUCCUACGGGAGAAAGCAGGGGACCUUCGGGCCUUGCGCUAAUAGAUGAGCCUAGGUCGGAUUAGCUUGUUGGUGAGGUAAUGGCUCACCAAGGCGACGAGCCGUAACUGGUCUGAGAGGAUGAUCAGUCACACUGGAACUGAGACACGGUCCAGACUCCUACGGGAGGCAGCAGUGGGGAAUAUUGGACGAUGGGCGAAAGCCUGAUCCAGCCAUGCCGCGUGUGUGAAGAAGGUCUUCGGAUUGUAAAGCACUUUAAGUUGGGAGGAAGGGUUGUAGAUUAAUACUCUGCAAUUUUGACGUUACCGACAGAAUAAGCACCGGCUAACUCUGUGCCAGCCGCCGCCGUAA
Molecule: ribosomal RNA, 500 nt
Filed under: uncultured bacterium
Lineage: Bacteria
Description: partial 16S ribosomal RNA
Rfam family: Bacterial small subunit ribosomal RNA
Source: RNAcentral